UUAUAUCUUUUUUUCUAUGUAUUUAUUUUACCCAUUAACCCACAUUUCUGACCUUAAGGAAAUAUUCGUUUUUGUCUCUGCAUAGACAUAGGAUGAAAGGAAGAACCGUAAUUGACCAGCUUGGGAGUUUGAGAUUCCAUAGGAUGAGACAUAAGAAAUUUUGCAUUACCUUUUGUUAAAGAGCUUAUAACACUGUUGUAGUCGAGAAUCUGCUCCAAAGGCACCUGAGCACGAAUACAUUUAAUGACAGAUGAACUCUGUAGUAGAGAAGAAGCAUUGUUUGCUUUAACAGAACUAGGUUCAUCAGCUGGUAGAUAUCUUUCACCUAAUAUUCCUAUCGCUAUCUGCGAGUCUUUCGAAGCAGCAUUCUUUCCAAUCUCUGUAAUUUCUUUGAUCGUGGCUCCCCGCUUGCCUACAAGAUCUUUAGAAACAAUACCAACAUAUUCUUCAGGAGUUGUAAUUGUAACAUCCAUAUAAGGUUCUAAUAUUCUGAAACUUUUGGGACUUCUCUUGUAUAAUGAAAAUACUGCAUUUUUGGUAGCUUUCAUCGAUGCUUGUGUCAAAAGUGACAACGGAAAGUCAUUAGAUAGAAAAGAAGAAAUGGUACAAAAUGACUGCAAAUUCGUGAGAGGAAACCCAUGUAAAGGCCCAUGCGAUAGACCUGCAACUAUUCCAAAGUAGAUGUUUUCUUGAAUACGUUGGAAAGAGAGAUGAUCCGGUAAAGUACACGAGUUUUCCGGCUUCCAGCCAUAAAACAAAACUCCAUCUUCUUGCCCUUUACUUCGAACUUUUUGGAUCUCACCUUCAGAAAAAUAUUUUUUCAAGGUUUCAUCUCCUUCAUCAGAAAUAGGGAUUAAGUAAACAUUAAUAAUGAGAUUCUCUUUAUUUUCUGUGCUUAAGGUAACUGAAUUAAAGCUUACAUCAAUCAAAGUUUCACGAUAACCAACUUGAACUUUUCCUAAAGAUGCUCGAGCUCCAAAUUCAGACACCAGUCUUUCAUAAGAAACUUGUAAAUGCAUAAUGCCCAUCCCUUGUAUCAAUAGUUGUCCAUUCUCUAAAUCUUGGGUAUAUCUAAAUGAAGGAUCUUCACGAUUCAUGUUAGCCAAUGCUUCUAAAAGUGCGGGUUCAUCUUUUAGCGAAUAAGGUUCUAUAGAAGCAAUGCAAACAGGUUCAGGAAUACUGAUAACACUUUGAUUUCCAGAAAGGUACUCAUGAAAAUUUUUUGAGUUCUCUUUAUUAAUAAUGAUAUCUCCGGUAUGAAAUUGUUUAAUCCCACUAAUCACUCCUAUGUUUCCAGCGGAAAUGCAAUCAACUUCUUGAGUCUGGUCAGCGAAUACAUUGUAUAAACGAAUUGCUCUUUCUGACUUUUUAGUUCUUGGAUUAAACAUCAUCAUUCCUCGGCUUAAAGUCCCUUCAUUGACUCUGACAUAUGUGAGAAUUCCCCUAGAAGCAUGAUGUAUAACCUUGAAAAUCUUUGCAAGCAAAGGACGUUUAUCCAGGGAGAUUAUUUUGUCACUACUCGUUUCUUUUGAAGCAUUUUUUUCAUAAAAUUCUACAGGACUAGGAAGAUAAUCAAUGAUCGCAUCCAUGAUGGGCUGAACGGCUAUAUUUUUAAGAGAAGAUCCGCAUAAAACUGGAACUACAUUGCCAGAAAUUGUUUUCUGUUUGAUAAUUUUAAAUAAACGGUCAUUAGUGAAAGCGAGUGAAUCCUCAUUCUCAAGGUAUUCAUCGCAUAAUGUUUCGUCAACAUCGCAAAGGCUCAUGACUAAUGCAUUUCUCGCUUCUAUAAAUCUCUCCAUGUGUGAUUCCGGAAUUGGAAGCUCCUGAACAUGUGUACCAUCUGUUCCUAACUUGUUGUCAGAUGUAUCCCACAAAAUCAUUUUCUGCUGCAAAAUAUCCAAAAUGCCUAAAAACUUCCUUUCUUGUAAUCCAUCUGAAUAUACUGGCAAUUGAAGUACAAGGGGAUAUGGACAGUCUAAAUUGGUGUAUAUAGAACGAAUGGUGCUACCCAAGCUAGAACCUACACGAUCCAUUUUAUUGACAAAAAUAACCUUUGGAAUGCCGCGUUUGGUAGCUUGUUUCCAUACAACUUUCGUUUGGGCUUCAACACCAGCACUACCAUCUAUAAUGGCUACAGCACCGUCUAAUACUGCUACUGACCGUUCAACUUCAAAGGUAAAAUCAGCAUGGCCAGGGGUAUCAAUUAAAUUGAUUCUUUGAUUUCUCCAAGUGAAGCUAAUUGCGGCAGAGUUAAUAGUAAUUCCGCGCUGGCGUUCUGCAGGCAAAUAAUCCAUAACCGUAUCUCCUGUAUCAACAUUGCCAAAGUGGCUAGUAAAACCUCCGUAAUA
This is a non-coding RNA of Schizosaccharomyces pombe (fission yeast), 2348 nucleotides long. NCBI's taxonomy places the organism in Eukaryota, Fungi, Ascomycota, Schizosaccharomycetes, Schizosaccharomycetales, Schizosaccharomycetaceae. The record is from the annotation of a GenBank genome assembly.